Molecule: non-coding RNA, 30 nt
Filed under: Mus musculus (house mouse)
Lineage: Eukaryota; Metazoa; Chordata; Mammalia; Rodentia; Muridae
Source: RNAcentral
UGGGAUUUACCUCAUACAUAAACUCAGGAC